UGCUGGAGGUAUCAGAAGUGCGAAUGCUGACAUAAGUAACGAUAAAGCGGGUGAAAAGCCCGCUCGCCGGAAGACCAAGGGUUCCUGUCCAACGUUAAUCGGGGCAGGGUGAGUCGACCCCUAAGGCGAGGCCGAAAGGCGUAGUCGAUGGGAAACAGGUUAAUAUUCCUGUACUUGGUGUUACUGCGAAGGGGGGACGGAGAAGGCUAUGUUGGCCGGGCGACGGUUGUCCCGGUUUAAGCGUGUAGGCUGGUUUUCCAGGCAAAUCCGGAAAACCAAGGCUGAGGCGUGAUGACGAGGCACUACGGUGCUGAAGCGACAAAUGCCCUGCUUCCAGGAAAAGCCUCUAAGCAUCAGGUAACAUCAAAUCGUACCCCAAACCGACACAGGUGGUCAGGUAGAGAAUACCAAGGCGCUUGAGAGAACUCGGGUGAAGGAACUAGGCAAAAUGGUGCCGUAACUUCGGGAGAAGGCACGCUGAUAUGUAGGUGAAGCGACUAGCUCGUGGAGCUGAAAUCAGUCGAAGAUACCAGCUGGCUGCAACUGUUUAUUAAAAACACAGCACUGUGCAAACACGAAAGUGGACGUAUACGGUGUGACGCCUGCCCGGUGCCGGAAGGUUAAUUGAUGGGGUUAGCGGUAACGCGAAGCUCUUGAUCGAAGCCCCGGUAAACGGCGGCCGUAACUAUAACGGUCCUAAGGUAGCGAAAUUCCUUGUCGGGUAAGUUCCGACCUGCACGAAUGGCGUAAUGAUGGCCAGGCUGUCUCCACCCGAGACUCAGUGAAAUUGAACUCGCUGUGAAGAUGCAGUGUACCCGCGGCAAGACGGAAAGACCCCGUGAACCUUUACUAUAGCUUGACACUGAACAUUGAGCCUUGAUGUGUAGGAUAGGUGGGAGGCUUUGAAGUGUGGACGCCAGUCUGCAUGGAGCCGACCUUGAAAUACCACCCUUUAAUGUUUGAUGUUCUAACGUUGGCCCGUAAUCCGGGUUGCGGACAGUGUCUGGUGGGUAGUUUGACUGGGGCGGUCUCCUCCUAAAGAGUAACGGAGGAGCACGAAGGUUGGCUAAUCCUGGUCGGACAUCAGGAGGUUAGUGCAAUGGCAUAAGCCAGCUUGACUGCGAGCGUGACGGCGCGAGCAGGUGCGAAAGCAGGUCAUAGUGAUCCGGUGGUUCUGAAUGGAAGGGCCAUCGCUCAACGGAUAAAAGGUACUCCGGGGAUAACAGGCUGAUACCGCCCAAGAGUUCAUAUCGACGGCGGUGUUUGGCACCUCGAUGUCGGCUCAUCACAUCCUGGGGCUGAAGUAGGUCCCAAGGGUAUGGCUGUUCGCCAUUUAAAGUGGUACGCGAGCUGGGUUUAGAACGUCGUGAGACAGUUCGGUCCCUAUCUGCCGUGGGCGCUGGAGAACUGAGGGGGGCUGCUCCUAGUACGAGAGGACCGGAGUGGACGCAUCACUGGUGUUCGGGUUGUCAUGCCAAUGGCACUGCCCGGUAGCUAAAUGCGGAAGAGAUAAGUGCUGAAAGCAUCUAAGCACGAAACUUGCCCCGAGAUGAGUUCUCCCUGA
Molecule: ribosomal RNA, 1564 nt
Filed under: Escherichia coli
Lineage: Bacteria; Pseudomonadati; Pseudomonadota; Gammaproteobacteria; Enterobacterales; Enterobacteriaceae
Description: bacterial LSU rRNA
Rfam family: Bacterial large subunit ribosomal RNA
Source: RNAcentral